RNAcentral lists this ribosomal RNA (253 nucleotides) under uncultured prokaryote. RNAcentral describes it as "partial 16S ribosomal RNA". It matches the Rfam family "Bacterial small subunit ribosomal RNA", at positions 524 to 776 of the family's 1533-position model. The record is from RNAcentral.
UACGUAGGGGGCGAGCGUUGUCCGGAGUUACUGGGCGUAAAGGGCAUGCAGGCGGUCAGGCGCGUUUUGUGUGACAGCGGAGGGCUUAACUCUCCGAGGAUACGAGAUACGGCGUGACUUGAGAGCGCGAGAGGGACACGGAAUUCCGGGUGGAGUGGUGAAAUGCGUAGAGAUCCGGAGGAACACCGAAGGCGAAGGCAGUGUCCUGGCGCGUAUCUGACGCUGAGGUGCGAAAGCCAGGGGAGCGAACGGG